UUUGGGCAGUUGAUGAUCCUCAUUGAUAUUAAUGGGUAAUUUGCAUCUGAAACAUUCAUUGAUGUUUUAUCUAUCACCUUGGAGAACUGAUGCCCUUG
Molecule: small nucleolar RNA, 98 nt
Organism: Prunus persica (peach)
Lineage: Eukaryota; Viridiplantae; Streptophyta; Magnoliopsida; Rosales; Rosaceae
Source: Rfam